ACAUGCAAGUCGAACGAGAAAGGGGCUUCGGCUCCGAGUAAAGUGGCGCACGGGUGAGUAACACGUGGGUAACCUGCCUCUAAGAUUGGGAUAACUCGUCGAAAGAUGGGCUAAUACCGGAUAAGACCACAGUUCCCGCGGGAACAGUGGUCAAAGGUAGCCUCUGCUUGCAAGCUAUCACUUAGAGAUGGGCCUGCGCACCAUUAGCUAGUUGGUAGGGUAACGGCCUACCAAGGCAAAGAUGGUUAGCUGGUCUGAGAGGAUGAUCAGCCACACUGGAACUGAGACACGGUCCAGAAUCCUACCGGAAGGCACCAGUGGGGAAUAUUGCGCAAUGGGCGAAAGCUUGACGCAGCAACGCCGCGUGAGUGAUGAAGGCCUUCGGGUCGUAAAGCUCUGUCGGGAGGAACGAAUGCUCCUGAGGUUAACAGCCUCGGGAGGUGACGGUACCUCCAAAGGAAGCACCGGCUAACUCUGUGCCAGCAGCCGCGGUA
Molecule: ribosomal RNA, 494 nt
Filed under: uncultured soil bacterium
Lineage: Bacteria
Description: bacterial SSU rRNA
Rfam family: Bacterial small subunit ribosomal RNA
Source: RNAcentral